RNAcentral lists this ribosomal RNA (402 nucleotides) under bacterium. RNAcentral's name for it is "partial 16S ribosomal RNA". It matches the Rfam family "Bacterial small subunit ribosomal RNA", at positions 355 to 776 of the family's 1533-position model. The record is from RNAcentral.
UGGGGAAUUUUGCACAAUGGGGGAAACCCUGAUGCAGCGACGCCGCGUGAUUUAGAAGGCCUUCGGGUUGUAAAAAUCUUUUUUACGGGAUGAAAAUGACAGUACCGUAAGAAUAAGGUCCGGCUAAAUACGUGCCAGCAGCCGCGGUAAUACGUAUGGACCGACCGUUGUCCGGAAUCAUUGGGCGUAAAGGGUACGUAGGCGGCCUAGUCAGUUAGAAGUGAAAUAAUAUAGCUCAACUAUAUAAAGCUUUUAAAACUGAUAGGCUUGACUGAUGGAAAGGAAAGUGAAAUUCCUAGGGUAGCGGUGAAGUGCGCAGAUAUUAGGAAGAAUGCAAGUGGCGAAGGCGACUUUCUGGUCAUCAUCUGACGCUGAGCUACGAAAGCGUGGAUAGCAAACAGG